RNAcentral lists this long non-coding RNA (480 nucleotides) under Olea europaea (common olive). Its description in RNAcentral is "long non-coding RNA (OEUR_LNC013704)". Lineage: Eukaryota; Viridiplantae; Streptophyta; Magnoliopsida; Lamiales; Oleaceae. The record is from RNAcentral.
CUUAUAUUUUAUGGUAGAACAAUAAAUAGAAUAGCCAAAUAUAUGUUUACUAAUUUACAUUUCACUUCAAUUAAUAUAAAUAAGAGGUAAUCAGAAAAAAGGAUGGAAAGUAACCCAUAUCAAAGCUCUAAUCCAAUGAUAAAAUGAAUUCAAAGUUAUUAUUGACAAAUGAACACAAUAAACACACAUACAACAACAUGAAAAAAUGAUUCACAAAAAGGAGAAAAAAGUAGCCCAAAUAUUUAAAAUUUACAAUACCUUCUCCUCUUCUUCAAAUGUCCAAUAAGAAUAUUGUAAGAUUUGAUUACUCACUUUAACCAAAUGAGCGUCCAAGGGAAUGAGUAUGUAGAUUGACGUUAUUAUUAUCUCUUUCAAUCCAUUUAGUUUCAUCAAAACCUCAUUAUGUGCCUGUUUGACACUUAGCCCUUGUUUGAACCACAUUAUGUUUCUUAUAAUGAAUUUUUGAAUAGUGUAUUAAUA